Long non-coding RNA from Drosophila sechellia, 2265 nucleotides. RefSeq lists it as uncharacterized. The transcript has 3 exons. NCBI's taxonomy places the organism in Eukaryota, Metazoa, Arthropoda, Insecta, Diptera, Drosophilidae. The record is from RefSeq and is a predicted model, not a curated record.
UCUGUGCACUCGCAGUUGGUGUACGAUUCCAGGUAGUAGCAUUGGAAACUCUGGUCCCGCAGGUCCAGGUGCUGCUUCACUUGCAUUUCGAGGAACUCAGGAAUCUAGGUAAUGGGGAAACACCUGGAGCGUGGUAUCUUCAUUCAGUGGAGCCAGUUACUUGUACACUUGGUAUUGUGAUCAUCAUACUUAAUUGAUGCUGGCAACCGAUUGAUUAGCAAAGCGACAACAAAUCAACAAGUUGAAUGCGGAACACACAAGUAGACAGAUUCGCAAGAGGAGUGCUCCUCUCGAGUGGACACUUGUGGCUUCUAUCAGGUCGCCAGACAGCCAGUGAAAUAGAAAACAAAAGCCAUUUGCCCAUUUGGCAAUCGGUGGGAGCGGGGAAAAGUGCAAGGCAGAUAGAAAAAUGUGGGAAUGCACAUUUCUGCGUAAUCAUGGGCAAAAUAAGUUUAAAAUUUCAUACAAGCUUAAAACGGACUUAAAUCGGAUUUAGUGCUAAGCUUGCAACUGCAGACUACAAAAGAAUUUAAAUAGAAGCCUAUUUCGACAAAAGCGAAGUGCAUAGGAAAAAUUAUAAGAUAACGGCCAGAUUACGUAUACGACUCAUAAAACGGUCGUCGUCGCACUGAAUUGCGACGUAAUAAAUUCACUUUGGCCAUGGCAGUCGCAGCGCGGGAGGAGGAGCAAGGGUGCUAUGGAGCAGAAGGGGCGGCUUCCGGAGGAUUCCAAGCAACUGGGAGCCCGCCGUUCGCCGUGGGCGUGUAUUAUGCAUAUGGGAACCGGGGCACCGAGUUUCAUGUGGCGAGGAAUUUUUGAAAGACGAGAAGCGUGCACGUCGGCGAGAUUAUUAAUUUCUUAAUUGUUUGCCAGUCGUCGUGAGGAGUAAGUGCAGCACGGCUUGCCAAGCGCCGAUCAAAUAUUAAUAGCUAGGCAGUUGCAUAUUUAAUGGUUACAAAUAUUUCGGUAUUUAUUUAAAUAAUAGAAAUUAGACAAAACUAAAUUUAUACCCAAUUCUUUUUUUUUUUUACUUAUAAGUUUGACCGUAGUUUAAACUAAACUUAGUUUCGAUCUGAAUUGGCAUAGCCUGAUCAACUUCUUUGUAUCUCUGACUUAACUCUUGCGCCAGCCGUUAAUUGUAUUUUAAGUUUAUAAUAUAGAAAUUAGCAAACAUCUUAUACGGAUACAACCUCACAGCCCCUUCCCUCUUCCCCUCACAAAUUGAUCGCUUUAAAUGGCAAUAGCACGUGUGCGUCGAUCGGCUUAAUCAUUUUCGGUGUAUUUUUUAUUAUUAUUUUUUUUUUUUCUUUUGUUCGUUGCUUGCUAAUUGUUAUUGCUGCCAGUUGAUGCACUUGUGCAAAUGAAUGCGUAUAUGAAUUUGUUCCCAGUUGUGUUGUUUAAUUAGUAACAGUCGUCCGUCGUUCAAUUGCGUAAAAUAGAGAGCAAACAAAAGUGCCCAGAACAAUCGCAGGAGUGACGCACUCGAGAUGGCAAGACACAUCGGAAAACGAUAGAGAUAUAUACAUAUAUAUAGUAAAUAUAUUAAUGAGGGAUCUAGGCCCAACAAUCUGCUGCAGAUUACGAUGGCUAGUCGGUCUCCAGUUUGAAUGUGUGAAUCACAUGUGUGACACUAUUUUUUUUUUACUUUAGUAUUUUUUUUUUUUAGUAACUUCUGUUUGCCUGUUUUCAUACGAAGAUUGCUAAUUGAAAACAGUUUUUACGUAUGUAUGCAUGUAUCCCAUUUCAGUUAAAUAAACACAAAACAGCAACAGACAAAUUGCCUCACAAACACUUGUUGAACACUUGUGUUUAACCCACGGAUCAGAGAACUGCAGCCCGCCACUGGCACUCUACGUCCACCCGAUAAACACUCGGUACUCUAGGCACCCCUGUGUUUUUUGACACCCUACUUGUGGCAACACAAAAUACUCGAGUGUUUUACCAACGUGGUGUUUUUGUUACGAGUAAAAAAACCACCCGAGGCCUGCUGCGCAAUAACCGUUUGGGUGAGUGGACGCACAGUCAACGAUCGGCCGCAGGUCAUUUUUUGUACGCCUAAAAUUUGUAUGGGUGGAAGCGUGACGGGUAUAAGAAAUGAAGGGUAAAAGGGAAUACCCAAGAAAGUUUUCGUGCUCAUGUCUUUGCUCUUUGAUGUACUCAAUGGGUGCCACCCGUUUUGAAUUAUUGCCUUGUAAUUUUUCACACGUCGCUAGCUGAAUACUCUAAUGAAAAAUAUUCUUACAUAAAGUCAUUUUUGAAAUGAAU